GGCGGAAGUCCUCCUUCACGCCUUUGGUGAUGCCUCGAGUUACCGUGUGGUGCCUGAGGUCAGCGACAGGGAAACAGAUGAAGACAGAGAUCCAUAAUGAUUUUUAAAUCGAACACAAACACACUGGCAACUUAUGGAAAAAAAUAAGAAAUGUUACAAUAUUACAACCAGAUGGUUUGCCAAGGAAUGCAGAACAAAUUAAAAAAAUAAAUAAAGCAUGAAAAAGAGCACUGAGGAACAAAGAGCAGAAAACCAUGGGCAGUAAACAUGUUGACAAACAGCACACUAUGAGCAGGUGUUUGUUCCACUUGGUACCUGUCAGCAGUCUGUAUGCUGGGCUGAAGCACAGGUAAGAAUUCCUGCUGCAGCAACCCCAUGGGAGGGCUAGAAGGCCUUUAAGAAACAGCAAACAGCAGCAUUCAAACACCCACACCGACUCACCCUGCACUGCAAAAACAACACUCCAGAGAAAAUACACAAGACUGGAAGCAGACUGUACAGAAACUCGGUAACCUCAACAAGCCCCUGGCCGCAGCUGUGUGUUUUAGGAGCUGAGGGAGAAGCUAGCAAGCCCUCACUGCACCCGCUGCCGGUGCAUGUCCAGAGGCAUCUCGGUUCCUGGUCCCAGAGCUCAGCCCACUUGAGAUUUGGUAUAAAAAGCAACCAGUGAGGAAGAGGACAAUGGAAUGCAGUUGAAUGGCAGUGGGGAGCAGGGUCAACAUUUGAGAAGACACAUUUUCAAAGCCAGCCUCUUUCCACUCUUCUUGUGCCCACGCCAAUCCCAGUAGUCAACCUGGGGAUGUUUGGUAACCAUCUUUCACAGGGUUGAAGCCCCGACCUGGAGGGGCCCUUCCAAGAGGACUAGAAGGGCUGGCAAUGUUUUCGAUAAAGAAAGGGUUAUUAAAACAACAACAACAACAACACUAUGAGCAAAGCAAGAUGCAUCUGUGAGCUUAACUCAUGGGCCAUCAGGUGUGUCCUCUGCUGUGACAGGACACACAGACCUAGCUGGACACAUAUCAGGUGGGCACAGACUGUGGGAUGGGAUGAAAACCAGAAGGAAAUCAGCUAGGACAGUGAAAACAAAAGUGGAUGGAAAUCCCAGAUCGGUUGGAAGGCCAGAGAAUGAGAACAGGGCCUGCUAAAUGAGCAUGUAACAGGUGAAAACACAGAAGGAUAGGCAGGCCCAGAAGAUUUAAAAUUAUUAUACAGCCUGGAUGCCAAACCUGGGAGAGAUCAGUGGGAAUUCCCUCCUUUACCAGAUGUUCGCUGAAUGCCUGCUUUGGCUCAGGCACUGCACCUGCAGAGUGGCUCAGGCACUGUUCAGCUGCUCGGGGUGCAGUUGUGGAUAAGCUGGACAAAGUCCUAGACCCACGGAGCUUGUACUCUAGUGAAGGGACACACAGUAAACCAACCAACAAGCAAAAUGAGUUAUGCAGGGAAUUAAAGCAGAGUAAGAACAAGAGAAAACUGGACAGCUACUAAAGAUGCAUGCCCAGGGGAGGCCUCAGAAGGAGAAAUGUUUGGGCUGGGACUGAAUGACAAGGACCUAGCCUAGCUGAGAUCUGAGGGAAAAACCCACCACUUACAGAGCACAGCCUCGACAGGGGGCAGAGGCCAGGAAGCAGGCAUGGGCUCAGAGCAUGAGACUUGCUCAGGGAGGCCAGUGUGUCUUGCUCAGUGUGUGUGCAGUACGGAAAGACCAGCUCAGGAUGUACUUUGUAAGGCAAAGUGAGGAAUCUGGAUUUUAGUCUAAGUGUCUUCCCUCUAAUGGGAAGCCCUUAGAGGAUGAAAAGCAGAAGAGCAAUGUCUGAUUCAUAUUUCAAAAAGAUCAUUCUGGCUGCUGGGGCAAGAAGAGGUAGAGUGCAAGGCUGAAAGCAGGAAGACAACAUAACUACUCUGACUGCAUAGGAAAGAGACUAUGAUGGCUUGAGCAGGGAGGCAGCAUAAGGAAGAAGAGAAACUGAGGGACUGAGGCUCUGUUGUAUAUGCUGAAUUUUAUGGGGGCACAGCAUUACUUUUACUUAAAACUAA
Non-coding RNA from Microcebus murinus (gray mouse lemur), 2034 nucleotides. The record is from RefSeq and is a predicted model, not a curated record. NCBI's taxonomy places the organism in Eukaryota, Metazoa, Chordata, Mammalia, Primates, Cheirogaleidae.